ACCUAAGCAUUGCACACUGGAAGGAGUCUUGUCUACUAAAAUUAUUCAACUUCUCUAGUGGCUACUCUUGGAUACAUACGAAAAAAGAAAUUAUGUUUCCCGGCCUAAUCUUUUCCUUACAAGCUGUAUUUUGCACUUGAACCCCCAACUUUAACCAAUACAAAACCAUUAUAAAAAUAAAAUUUUUUCAGAUCAGGGAGACCAAGAUUGUUCCAGCAGAAUUCUGACUCAUAUUUGAUCAAGUUAGGAAUAUUAGUAAGUUCAAAGAGAGAAGUUCUGCUUAUCAGACUUGUUAAAAACUAAGAAGCUAUUCCUGUAUUUCCGCAUAUGGUGAAACUCGCUGUAUAGAUUUCAAUGGUACUUGAAGCAACACCUACAUUAACCAGGGUCCACUGAAUGUUUUACUGUAAUCUCCUUUCGUCUUCUGCUCUAGAAGGGGAAAACAGCACCUCAGUGCUCACCUUAUCUUCUCUGAAAUCACAGGAAAUAACACUUUCUGGAUUUGGUCCCCAUCAACCUGGAAUCUUCAAUACAGUUAUUACUUGGUACCCAUC
This 554-nucleotide long non-coding RNA is filed under the name Dromaius novaehollandiae (emu). RNAcentral describes it as "lncRNA (ENSDNVG00000007924.1)". Lineage: Eukaryota; Metazoa; Chordata; Aves; Casuariiformes; Dromaiidae. The record is from RNAcentral.